Molecule: transfer RNA, 74 nt
Filed under: Pseudomonadota bacterium
Lineage: Bacteria; Pseudomonadati; Pseudomonadota
Also listed under: 4 other names
Description: tRNA-Gln
Rfam family: tRNA
About the family: Transfer RNA (tRNA) molecules are approximately 80 nucleotides in length. Their secondary structure includes four short double-helical elements and three loops (D, anti-codon, and T loops).
Source: RNAcentral
UGGCCCGUCGUCUAACGGCAGGACAUCAGCCUUUGGAGCUGAUUAUUCAGGUUCGAAUCCUGGCGGGCCAGCCA